Molecule: ribosomal RNA, 440 nt
Filed under: uncultured bacterium
Lineage: Bacteria
Description: bacterial SSU rRNA
Rfam family: Bacterial small subunit ribosomal RNA
Source: RNAcentral
AACGCGAAGAACCUUACCUGGGCUUGAAAGUUAGUGACCGCUCCUGAAAGGGAGCUUUCCGAAAGGACACGAAACUAGGUGCUGCAUGGCUGUCGUCAGCUCGUGCCGUGAGGUGUUGGGUUAAGUCCUGUAACGAGCGCAACCCCUAUCAUUAGUUGCCAGCGGGUAAUGCCGGGGACUCUAGUGAAACUGCCUGCGUAAGCAGCGAGGAAGGUGGGGAUGACGUCAAGUCAUCACGGCCCUUACGUCCAGGGCUACACACGUGCUACAAUGGUCGACACAAUGGGCAGCUACUUGGUAACAAGAUGCAAAUCUCCAAAGUCGAUCUCAGUUCGGAUAGAGGUCUGCAAUUCGACCUCUUGAAGUUGGAUUCGCUAGUAAUCGCGCAUCAGCAAUGGCGCGGUGAAUACGUUCCCGGGCCUUGUACACACCGGUAUCUC